CUACGGGGGGCAGCAGUGGGGAAUAUUGGACAAUGGGCGCAAGCCUGAUCCAGCCAUGCCGCGUGAGUGAUGAAGGCCUUAGGGUUGUAAAGCUCUUUCGUCAGGGAAGAUAAUGACGGUACCUGAAGAAGAAGCCCCGGCUAACUUCGUGCCAGCAGCCGCGGUAAUACGAAGGGGGCUAGCGUUGCUCGGAAUCACUGGGCGUAAAGCGCACGUAGGCGGCUUUCUAAGUCAGGGGUGAAAUCCUGGAGCUCAACUCCAGAACUGCCUUUGAUACUGGAGAGCUUGAGUUCGGGAGAGGUGAGUGGAACUGCGAGUGUAGAGGUGAAAUUCGUAGAUAUUCGCAAGAACACCAGUGGCGAAGGCGGCUCACUGGCCCGAUACUGACGCUGAGGUGCGAAAGCGUGGGGAGCAAACAGGAUUAGAUACCCCUGUAGUC
This 439-nucleotide ribosomal RNA is filed under the name uncultured bacterium. Its description in RNAcentral is "partial 16S ribosomal RNA". It matches the Rfam family "Bacterial small subunit ribosomal RNA", at positions 339 to 795 of the family's 1533-position model. The record is from RNAcentral.